CAUAAGCCAGCUUGACUGCGAGCGUGACGGCGCGAGCAGGUGCGAAAGCAGGUCAUAGUGAUCCGGUGGUUCUGAAUGGAAGGGCCAUCGCUCAACGGAUAAAAGGUACUCCGGGGAUAACAGGCUGAUACCGCCCAAGAGUUCAUAUCGACGGCGGUGUUUGGCACCUCGAUGUCGGCUCAUCACAUCCUGGGGCUGAAGUAGGUCCCAAGGGUAUGGCUGUUCGCCAUUUAAAGUGGUACGCGAGCUGGGUUUAGAACGUCGUGAGACAGUUC
RNAcentral lists this ribosomal RNA (275 nucleotides) under Shigella sonnei. RNAcentral's name for it is "partial 23S ribosomal RNA". It matches the Rfam family "Bacterial large subunit ribosomal RNA", at positions 2358 to 2632 of the family's 2925-position model. Lineage: Bacteria; Pseudomonadati; Pseudomonadota; Gammaproteobacteria; Enterobacterales; Enterobacteriaceae. The record is from RNAcentral.